Molecule: ribosomal RNA, 253 nt
Filed under: uncultured bacterium
Lineage: Bacteria
Description: partial 16S ribosomal RNA
Rfam family: Bacterial small subunit ribosomal RNA
Source: RNAcentral
UACGUAGGGGGCGAGCGUUGUCCGGAAUUACUGGGCGUAAAGAGCGCGUAGGCGGCCCUAUAAGUUCGGUGUGAAAGCCCUCGGCUCAACUGGGGAAUGUCGCGGAAAACUGUCGGGCUGGAGUGUCGGAGAGGGAAGUGGAAGUCCCGGAGUAGGGGUGAAAUGCGUAGAUAUCGGGAGGAACACCUGUGGCGAAAGCGGCUCCCUGGACCACAACUGACGCUGAGGCGCGAAAGCUAGGGGAGCAAACAGG